Schistocerca serialis cubense is the source of this 1667-nucleotide RNA transcript. RefSeq lists it as uncharacterized. The record is from RefSeq and is a predicted model, not a curated record. The transcript is spliced from 3 exons. NCBI's taxonomy places the organism in Eukaryota, Metazoa, Arthropoda, Insecta, Orthoptera, Acrididae.
AAAUUUUGUGCACGUCCUUUCAUUUUCGUGGGUCUGCGAUUGCGCACGGCGAAAGAGGCUUCGUGUGGACAUACCUCUACGUCGAUAUCAUCUCAACUGUGUGAUAUUUGUAUGAGAACCGUUUUGAAAUUUGUUGUAGUAGUGAUUGGUAAACAUUCAUGUUAUUGCUUUUGCGUCUCAAUCUAGUUUCUCAUCCGUCGUAAUAAUAAUCCACAGUACUCGUGAAUAGUACAUCUGCAAAAAGUAAAAGUGAGAGGCAAUCACAAAAGGAUUCAAUGUACUGUCAAAGCAUUGUUCCAGUGCUUUCUGUCAAACGCUCAGGUUGAAGCAACAGCGACAUUUGUGUUCAUGGCGCUGCUUUGAUCAUCCGAAAGUAGGUUUUUUCGCAGUGAGUGGAAUCAGUGGUACAUUAUAGUCCAUGGAGUUACAGCUUAGCACAUGAGGGGCGUAUGGGCUAUUGAAACUAAAUAUAUGUCACUGCAGCUGAAUGUCGUGACUGGGUAGAAAACUAAUGCACACAAGAAGGUGUGCCCUGAUACAAUGCUGCUUCAGGACUUCCCUGAUGAAAUACUGCUUGAAAUUUUCUCACGACUUCCAGUUAAAGAUAUAGUUACAUGUGCUCUUUAUGUUUGUAAACGCUGGAAAGCCGUGUGUAGGAGUUCAGCCCUCUGGAAAGGGCGAGAAUAUCGGUUAACAGACAAAAAAAGGAAAUGUGAGAUUGUGGAAGUAGCCAAACUUAUUCCACACCUGACAACACUUUUUGUAGGGACAGGUACAAACUUCUGUGUAUGGUUUACUGGUUGCAAUGUGCUUCUUUCAUCAGGUGUUGAUUUUGAAAUAAUUAGGGAUUUAGUUUGGAGUUGUAAUAUUAGUAACAUAACAGUUCCAAGAGGUCUCUUCAGUCCUGAUUUGUUUCCAAAGCUGCUUGAUGAUGAUAAGAAACUCAGAUAUUUAACUGUGAAACAUGAUCCAAUGAUGUAUAACACUCCAGGUGAAACUCUACCACUUUUACUAAGACAGGGGUCACUGUCGGAGUUGAAAAUACUUCACAUACAUGGUGCCCGAAGUAUUACUGUUGACACUGUCCUUCAGUUGUGCCAGCACUGUCCCCAUCUUGAAGAACUGGCGUUACAUGAAUUAAGUCAGGCCUCAGACCAUGUGUUACAGAAUUUAUAACUGUGCCCUAAACUUCGCUUACUGGAAAUCACACAGUCUAACUCACUUCGUGAUCUUUCAUUUUUAAAAUGUUGUCCAAACCUGUUGGAAUUGGAUCUUACUAUGUGCUACUCUUUACAGCCCUCCUCUUUUCAGCAUUUGCUACACCUGAAAAAGUUGAAAUGGUUUCAUAUGAGGCACUGUAGAGCAAUUGGUUUACCACUUGCUGCCAUGGCUGAAUAUCUUGUUCACUUAAAGAUUAUUGACUUGUUUUAUUCUGCUGGUUUUAGUGAAAGUGAACUGAAAAAACUACAGAUGAUAGCUCCACACAUAAUUGUGUUACAGGGGCCUUUUGACCAUAGGUAGCUUCACAUAUAAUUGUUACAAGAGUCUUUUGGUCCAAUGUUUGAAAAUACAAUUAAUUGUAUCCUUCAUAAAUGUCAGUACUUGUGCUAAUGAUCUGCUAAAAAGUUGUCAUGUACCUUGUAAAUAAAGAACAUAUGUUCAUGGUA